Molecule: ribosomal RNA, 253 nt
Filed under: uncultured bacterium
Lineage: Bacteria
Description: partial 16S ribosomal RNA
Rfam family: Bacterial small subunit ribosomal RNA
Source: RNAcentral
CGGAGGGGCUAGCGUUGUUCGGAAUUACUGGGCGUAAAGCGCACGUAGGCGGAUCAGUCAGUCAGGGGUGAAAUCCCGGGGCUCAACCCGGAACUGCCUUUGAUACUGCUGGUCUUGAGGUCGAGAGAGGUGAGUGGAAUUCCGAGUGUAGAGGUGAAAUUCGUAGAUAUUCGGAGGAACACCAGUGGCGAAGGCGGCUCACUGGCUCGAUACUGACGCUGAGGUGCGAAAGCGUGGGGGAGCAAACAGGAUU